RNAcentral lists this transfer RNA (85 nucleotides) under Felis catus (domestic cat). It matches the Rfam family "tRNA". Rfam says of the family: Transfer RNA (tRNA) molecules are approximately 80 nucleotides in length. The record is from Rfam by way of RNAcentral. Lineage: Eukaryota; Metazoa; Chordata; Mammalia; Carnivora; Felidae.
GCCUGGGUGGCUCAGUCGGUUAAGCAUCUGACUUCGGCUCAGGUCAUGAUCUCACAGUUUGUGGGUUCAAGCCUCACGUCAGGCU